UAUAUUAUUUUAGGAUCAGCAAGAGUGAAGCAAAUCAUACUUUUCAGGCUAGGCUAAGCCAUUUGAUUCCUACAAACAGAUCUGUGUGGACCAAUGAGAUUCACUCAGUUUUACCAAGCUGAGUUGUAGAUGCCCAAUUAAUAGAUAUAUCAUGCUUGAACAAACACAACUAAUCUGAAUUCAGUUGGGCCCAGACUUUGCUUUGCCCGAAACUGAGUUGCUGGUAAUACCGUCUGAGGUUGACCAUGCUGUGGCAAAUCUUCCAGAUAUUCAGUAUAGAGUUAUUUUGCACAUGCAGCAUGCCUCUUUCAACCAAAGGGAGGUUGUUCUUCUACUUAUCCAUGGUACGUACAAAAUGUUGCAGCUGUACAGAUGAUCUUUACCAACAUUUUGUCAGAAGUGGCGUAUUUUCAUUGUAUUUCAAUAUUCACCAUGACAACGUCUUUUCAUUCAUUUAUUUAUUAUCCUUUUUCUUGUUUGAGAGAAGUGUAAGAAGAAGAGAAAGGGAUCAUUGAUUAUUCACCAUGAGAUUUUUCAGAAUUUCUCAUUAUCAUGCAUGAUCAACACGAGGAUUUGCCUGGUUCUUCAACUUCCUUACCCCAUUUCUUGUUUAAUGCUUGGAAGUCAUAAACUAUGUCCUGAGAUUUCGUUUGAUAUUCUAUCUUGGUAGAUACAUGCUCAGUGAAGGGAGGUUGUUCUAGAUGUAAAACUUCUACUUAUCCGUGGUACGUACAAAAUGUUGCAGCUUUACAGACGAUCUUUACCAGCAUUUUUCCAGAUGUGGUGUAUUUUCAUCGUAUUACAUGACAACGUCUUUUUUUUAAUUUAUCUAUUUUCCUUUUUCUUGCUUGAGUGAAGCGUAAUAAGAAGAGAAAAGGACCAUUGAUUCAAUUUGAAAAGAAAAAAAAAUCAAUGUUCCUUUUCUCUUCUUCUUACACUUCUCUCAAGCAAAAAAAAGGAAGAUAAUAAAAGGACCAUUGGUUCUUGACCAUGAGGUUUUGUCAGAAUUUCUCAUUAUCAUGCAUCAUCAACGAGGAUUUGGCUGGUUCUUUAACUUCCUCACCACAUUUCUUGUUUAAUGCUUGGAAGUCAUAGACUAUGUCCUCAGAUUUUGUUUGGUAUCCUAUAUAUCUUGGCAGAUAUAUCUUUUUGCUGCAGCAAUAGGAGACAUGACAACACCUUUUCGUUUAUUUAUUUAUCUGUUUUCCUUUUGCUUGCUUAAGAGACGUGUAAGAAGAAGAGAAAAGGAGCAUUGAUUCUUGACAAUGAGAUUUUGUCAGAAUUUCUCAUAAUCAUGCAUGAUCAACGAGGAUUUGGCCGGUUCUUCAACUUCAUGGCCCCAUUUCUUGUUUAAUGCUUGGAAGUCAUAAACUACAUCCUGAGAUUUUGUUUGAUAUUCUAUCUUGGUAGAUGCAUGAUCAGCGAAGGGAGGUGGUCCUCGGAGGUGGAACCUUACAAUUGUUCAUAUGGUGGAGAGUCAAAAUUUGAAAUGUAAAACUUCUACUUAACCAUGAUGUAUCUUUUUGCUGAGGCUAUAGGAGAUCCUUUUGCUGGGACGAUGACAAGAGGCCAUGUCAUAGACUUCCAAGUGUAAUAUCUUGUACAUGUCACUCUAGUUAAGAAAAAACAUACUCUCUCAGAGGUGGAAGCUUAGAAAUUGUUCAUGUGGUGGAGAUUGAGUCGAAAUUUGAAGUGGCAAAUUUCUAGUUACACCCAUGGUACUUGCAGCCGCACAGAUGAUCUUUACCAACAUUUUGUCAAAUGCAUUUCAAUAUUUGCCGUGAUGCCGUCUUAUUUAUUUAUUUAUUUAUUCUUGCUUGAGAGAAGUGUAAGAAGAGGAGGAAAGGACCAUUGAUUCUUGACCAUAAGAUUCUUUUCAGAAUUUCUCAUGA
Triticum aestivum (bread wheat) is the source of this 1892-nucleotide long non-coding RNA. RefSeq lists it as uncharacterized. The transcript is spliced from 2 exons. Lineage: Eukaryota; Viridiplantae; Streptophyta; Magnoliopsida; Poales; Poaceae. The record is from RefSeq and is a predicted model, not a curated record.